RNAcentral lists this ribosomal RNA (400 nucleotides) under uncultured bacterium. RNAcentral's name for it is "bacterial SSU rRNA". It matches the Rfam family "Bacterial small subunit ribosomal RNA", at positions 355 to 772 of the family's 1533-position model. The record is from RNAcentral.
UCGGGAAUUUUGGGCAAUGGGCGAAAGCCUGACCCAGCAACGCCGCCUGGAGGAUGAAGUCUUUCGGGAUGUAAACUUCGUAAGAAUAGGAAGAAUCAAUGACGGUACUAUUUGUAAGGUCCGGCUAACUACGUGCCAGCAGCCGCGGUAAUACGUAGGGACCAAGCGUUGUUCGGAUUUACUGGGCGUAAAGGGCGCGUAGGCGGCGUGUCAAGUCAGCUGUGAAAUCUCCGAGCUUAACUCGGAACGGUCAGCUGAUACUGUCAUGCUAGAGUACAGGAGGGGCAAUCGGAAUUCUUGGUGUAGCGGUGAAAUGCGUAGAUAUCAAGAGGAACACCUGAGGUGAAGACGGGUUGCUGGGCUGAUACUGACGCUGAGGCGCGGAAGCGUGGGUAGCAAC